Molecule: ribosomal RNA, 486 nt
Filed under: uncultured Flavobacteriaceae bacterium
Lineage: Bacteria; Pseudomonadati; Bacteroidota; Flavobacteriia; Flavobacteriales; Flavobacteriaceae
Description: bacterial SSU rRNA
Rfam family: Bacterial small subunit ribosomal RNA
Source: RNAcentral
GAUGAACGCUAGCGGCAGGCCUAACACAUGCAAGUCGAGGGGUAACAGGGAAAAGCUUGCUUUUCCGCUGACGACCGGCGCACGGGUGCGUAACGCGUAUGCAACCUACCUUUUACAGGAGUAUAGCCCAGAGAAAUUUGGAUUAAUCCUCCAUAAUAUCUUAAUCAUGCAUAUGAUAAAGAUUAAAGCUUCGGUGGUAAAAGAUGGGCAUGCGUUUUAUUAGCUAGUAGGUGAGGUAACGGCUCACCUAGGCCACGAUAAAUAGGGGCCCUGAGAGGGGGAUCCCCCACACUGGUACUGAGACACGGACCAGACUCCUACGGGAGGCAGCAGUGAGGAAUAUUGGACAAUGGACGAAAGUCUGAUCCAGCCAUGCCGCGUGCAGGAUGACGGCCCUAUGGGUUGUAAACUGCUUUUAUACAGGAAGAAACACUCCCACGUGUGGGGGCUUGACGGUACUGUACGAAUAAGGAUCGGCUAACUCCG